UACGGGGGGGGCAAGCGUUGUUCGGAAUUACUGGGCGUAAAGGGUUCGUAGGUGGCUUGCUAAGUCAGACGUGAAAUCCCUCAGCUUAACUGGGGAACUGCGUCUGAUACUGGCGAGCUUGAGUGCAGGAGAGGAACGCAGAAUUCCAGGUGUAGCGGUGAAAUGCGUAGAUAUCUGGAGGAAUACCGGUGGCGAAGGCGGCGUUCUGGACUGCAACUGACACUGAGGAACGAAAGCCAGGGGAGCAAACGGG
Molecule: ribosomal RNA, 253 nt
Filed under: uncultured bacterium
Lineage: Bacteria
Description: partial 16S ribosomal RNA
Rfam family: Bacterial small subunit ribosomal RNA
Source: RNAcentral